Molecule: ribosomal RNA, 679 nt
Filed under: uncultured anaerobic ammonium-oxidizing bacterium
Lineage: Bacteria
Description: bacterial SSU rRNA
Rfam family: Bacterial small subunit ribosomal RNA
Source: RNAcentral
AAGUCAGGUGUGAAAGCCUUCUGUUCAAAGGAAGAACGGCAUCUGAAACUGCAGAUCUUGAGUGUAGGAGGGGAGAGUGGAACUUCUGGUGGAGCGGUGAAAUGCGUAGAUAUCAGAAGGAACGUCGGCGGCGAAAGCGACUCUCUGGCCUAUUACUGACACUGAGGUGCGAAAGUUAGGGGAGCAAACGGGAUUAGAUACCCCGGUAGUCCUAACCGUAAACGAUGGGCACUAAGUAGAGGGAAUUACCAAUGUUCUCUCUGCCGUAGCUAACGCAUUAAGUGCCCCGCCUGGGGAGUACGGCCGCAAGGCUAAAACUCAAAAGAAUUGACGGGGGCUCGCACAAGCGGUGGAGCAUGUGGCUUAAUUCGAUGCAACGCGAAAAACCUUACCGGGGUUUGACAUGGUAGAAGUAGGAGCCCGAAAGGGCAACCAACGGUAUCCAGUCCGUAACUAUUACAGGUGUUGCAUGGCUGUCGUCAGCUCGUGUCGUGAGACGUUGGGUUAAGUCCCCUAACGAGCGAAACCCUUGUUUUUAGUUACCAGCGGGUUAUGCCGGGUACUCUAGAAAGACUGCCGUCGUCAAGACGGAGGAAGGUGGGGAUGACGUCAAGUCAUCAUGGCCCUUAUGCCCCGGGCUGCACACGUGCUACAAUGGUCGGUACAAACGGAAGCGAAG